GGGGGUGUAGCUCAGUGGUAGAGUGUUUGGCUGCAGGUAAAGUGGUCCUUGGAUCAACUCUAAGUGCUCCCU
This 72-nucleotide transfer RNA is filed under the name Pelodiscus sinensis (Chinese soft-shelled turtle). It matches the Rfam family "tRNA". From Rfam's summary of the family: Transfer RNA (tRNA) molecules are approximately 80 nucleotides in length. Their secondary structure includes four short double-helical elements and three loops (D, anti-codon, and T loops). The record is from Rfam by way of RNAcentral. Lineage: Eukaryota; Metazoa; Chordata; Testudines; Trionychidae.